This 1409-nucleotide long non-coding RNA is filed under the name Ananas comosus (pineapple). RNAcentral describes it as "long non-coding RNA (ACOM_LNC028894)". Lineage: Eukaryota; Viridiplantae; Streptophyta; Magnoliopsida; Poales; Bromeliaceae. The record is from RNAcentral.
UAAUACAAUUGUGCAAAUCCAACAUGAAAGAAUGUACAUAUUAUAUUAUUAAACAUGCUGAAGAAUUCUAUAGAUAAAUAAAAGUAGAGAAUUGGUUAAUCUGUACUAAAAAAGGCAAGAUGGUAAAGAAAAUGGCAAUAAAGAAGCAGAAGAAGAAACCACAACUUAUGGUGAAGAGAAAUGGUUGCAUGCUGGAAAAAUAAAUUGUCAUAUGAAAAAGAGAAACGGUCGCAUGGAGAAGAUAACUUUCAUAUGGGAAAGAGAAACGGUCACAUUGGAAAGAUAAAAUAUCAUAUAAAAUUAUGGCGAAGAGAAACGGUUGCAUGGCCGGAAAAAUAAAUUGUCAUAUGGAAAAGAGAAACGGUCGCAUGGAGAAGAUAACUUCCAUAUGGAAAAGAAAAACGGUCACAUUGGAAAGAUAAAAUGUCAUACGAAAUAGAGAAACGGUUGAAGAAAGAGGAGAGGUCGAUUCAAAGAGAGCAAAAGAUAAAAUGUCAUAUGAAAAAGAGAAACGGUUGAAGGAAGAGGAGAGGUCGGUUCAAAGAGAGCAAAAAAAUAUAUAAAAUCUAAAAAAAGGAGGGCUUGCCAUGUCAUCAUUUUUAUUGGGAAUUCAUAUAGAGAUAUAGAUUCAUACUAAAAGAAACAUAGAAAGGUAUGGAUUUAUAGAGUUGAGCUAGCAAAUGGGCUCCGUUGUCACCAAUUUGUUUUCAAUAAUGAAGCCUCCAAAUCGACGAUCAGCAUCGUUGAACAUAAUCUAUACCACUUAAGGCAUCUAGAAAUCAAAUUUUAUGUCUUUUCAACAUCAUUGGCCUAAUGAUUAAAGGGUUUCAAAAUUUAUAAUUUUAGUUGUCGAUACAAGACGCUUUCUUGUUUAUCGGCGUAAAGAUAUCCAAAUCAAUUGAAUUUUGGUUUAGAAAUUCUUUAAACUAUUUAGAAAAAGAUCUAUACUCUUGAUCUGGAUUACAAAACUCCUAUCAUCACAUUUUAAAGGAUAUUCAUUUUUAGCCGUUCAUUUUUGUAUCCACUUGAUGGACAAGAGAACAAUAUCAAAAAGACAUAAAAUUUAAUUUCUAAAUACUUCAAGUGGUACAGAUCAUAUUUAAUGGUGCCAAUUAUUGAUUUGAAGGCUCCAUCAUCAAAAAUAAAUGGGUGGCAACGAAGCCCGCUUGCUGCAAAUAGUAUUCUAGCUCAAUUCUGAAUUUAUAUUCUUAUUUUUCUUCUUCUGACUCUUAAUAAAAGAGUAAUUCACCAUGACAAUUUUCUCAAAACAAUCCAAAUGCUUUUUAUUUGCCUUCUAACAUUUGACCAAUGUUGAAAGGAUGGAGUGGAAGGGUGAAAAAGUAGAUAUUCAGAAAGUAAUAUAAAAAUAUUAUAAUUAACGAUGUGGCAAUAAAUAAAAUUCUUUGUUA